UGACGUUAUUUUGCUACCAGCCUUUAUUUAGGUUUGAUAUUUAAUAAUCACAAUUCAACACAGAGUCAAAUUCUCUUAUAAAUGAACCCCAGAGGCCUCAUUCGCCUUGCGUUAACUGCCGCCACCACAAGGUGGCACCACUGCACGCGCAUGGAGUCGUAAGCGUGACCUGAGCGUGACACGUUUCGGGCUUAAUGACCCCAGGUGUUUCACCAAACCAAGGCUGCGAAAACACGACAGAAAACGGACACGUAUAUUUCAACAAUAGACGCCGUGAGAGGAAUGAGCACUUGGAGUUUCAAAGCAAGUGACAGUUUUUGUCAAGCUAGCUACAGCUAACCCUGCUAGCUAACAGCGGCCCCGAAGAUAAUCACUUUUCACCGCCGCCAUCUGAGAGCACAUGUUCUUCAGAGCCGGGAGCUGUAAAAUGGACCUGGAGCCAUGAGGAGCCACGUCUGUAUCAUGUGAGAAUGAACUUGACUGCUCAUUGCCGUGGAAUCUACUGGAAGUCAACCGAGAAGACACACCUGAGGGUCAAGGAUGUAAGAGUGAAGUGCUGGUGCACUAACUUAGCAGCAGCCUCUGCUUCACCAGGUUGAGUUUGAAGGAAGCAUCAGCUGUAUAUGGUUUACUGGUUCAGCUGCUGCAGCCUGGACAGAAACACCAGCUCUCACCUGACAAACCAAACAGUCUUUGUACAAUGAAGUUCUUUGAGACCAGGACAGAGGACUCCAGGAAUCAAACUUCAUCCAUCAAAUCACAGAGAGAAGAGACAGACAUGAAGACAUUUCCAGAAGGUCUUCAGCUGCUGCAGAAACAAGAACACGUCAAUCACAGAAACUGAUGAGUAAAUCUAAUAUUCCUUUUUUAAACUGACCUUAUUCAUUGACACCUAAUAACAGUGAUUUAAACUUAACUUUUUAUAGUCAGUCAGUGUCACAGUAAUGACUAGAAAUAGUUCUGAAAAUCUACAAAAUAAUAUCCUACUGUAAUUAUUACAUGCUUAGCUCUCAAAUUUCACAGAGAUGAAUGUAAACCAUGCAAAAAAUACAGGAAAACAACUUAAACUGUACUCUUAUUAAAAUGGUGUUAUUUCAUUAUAAAUGAUUUAGCUAUGUUAAUAACUUACUUUACUAAAAUUAUUUUAAUGACAGAAUACGCCAACAUUUUUCACUGCAUUUUCUACUACUUUUUUAAAUGAUAUUUUUUAUGCCAAAGACAUUUGACUGUUUCUGAUGCCCUAACAUACUAUGACAAAGCAGCAGUCUAAUCUUUAUUUUCCACCGACCUCUACACAGUGUUUGUGGGUUAAGUUAAGAUUUUGUGUUUGGUAUUUUGCUAUUUCAAUAUCAGUACUCCAAUCCAAUCUAUUACUGUGUACAUAGUCCUGUUUUAUAUCUUGCCUUGUUUGUAUCAUGCCUUUUUAUGUUUUUGCUGCUGCAACACUGAAUUUCCCUGUUGUGGGACUAAUAAAAGAUUGUCUUACUCAAAUAAAUACUUCUGAACUGAAUAUUUUUAGCCUUGUUAUACUAUGACCUUUUUUAAAAC
Molecule: long non-coding RNA, 1548 nt
Organism: Lates calcarifer (barramundi perch)
Lineage: Eukaryota; Metazoa; Chordata; Actinopteri; Centropomidae
Exons: 6
Source: RefSeq, a predicted model, not a curated record